UAAUACAGAGGGGGCAAGCGUUGUUCGGAAUUACUGGGCGUAAAGGGCGCGUAGGUGGCCUUCUAAGUUGAACGUGAAAUCCCUGGGCUCAACCCAGGAACUGCGUCCAAGACUGGGAGGCUUGAAUCCGGGAGAGGGAUGCGGAAUUCCAGGUGUAGCGGUGAAAUGCGUAGAUAUCUGGAGGAACACCGGUGGCGAAGGCGGCAUCCUGGACCGGUAUUGACACUGAGGCGCGAAAGCCAGGGGAGCAAACGGGAUUAGAUACCCCGGUAGUCCUGGCCCUAAACGAUGAAUGCUUGGUGUGGCGGGUAUCGAUCCCUGCCGUGCCGAAGCUAACGCAUUAAGCAUUCCGCCUGGGGAGUACGGUCGCAAGGCUG
Molecule: ribosomal RNA, 377 nt
Filed under: uncultured bacterium
Lineage: Bacteria
Description: bacterial SSU rRNA
Rfam family: Bacterial small subunit ribosomal RNA
Source: RNAcentral